Molecule: ribosomal RNA, 238 nt
Filed under: uncultured bacterium
Lineage: Bacteria
Description: partial 16S ribosomal RNA
Rfam family: Bacterial small subunit ribosomal RNA
Source: RNAcentral
GAUCCUGCUCAGGAUGAACGCUAGCUACAGGCUUAACACAUGCAAGUCGAGGGGCAGCAUGAACUUAGCUUGCUAAGUUUGAUGGCGACCGGCGCACGGGUGAGUAACACGUAUCCAACCUGCCGAUGACUCGGGGAUAGCCUUUCGAAAGAAAGAUUAAUACCCGAUGGCAUAGUUCUUCCGCAUGGUAGAACUAUUAAAGAAUUUCGGUCAUCGAUGGGGAUGCGUUCCAUUUAGG